RNAcentral lists this ribosomal RNA (497 nucleotides) under uncultured bacterium. Its description in RNAcentral is "partial 16S ribosomal RNA". It matches the Rfam family "Bacterial small subunit ribosomal RNA", at positions 28 to 507 of the family's 1533-position model. The record is from RNAcentral.
GAUGAACGCUGGCGGCGUGCCUAAUACAUGCAAGUCGAGCGAACAGAUGAGGAGCUUGCUCCUCUGACGUUAGCGGCGGACGGGUGAGUAACACGUGGAUAACCUACCUAUAAGACUGGGAUAACUUCGGGAAACCGGAGCUAAUACCGGAUAAUAUAUUGAACCGCAUGGUUCAAUAGUGAAAGACGGUUUUGCUGUCACUUAUAGAUGGAUCCGCGCCGCAUUAGCUAGUUGGUAAGGUAACGGCUUACCAAGGCAACGAUGCGUAGCCGACCUGAGAGGGUGAUCGGCCACACUGGAACUGAGACACGGUCCAGACUCCUACGGGAGGCCGCAGUAGGGAAUCUUCCGCAAAGGGCGAAAGCCUGACGGAGCAACGCCGCGUGAGUGAUGAAGGUCUUCGGAUCGUAAAACUCUGUUAUUAGGGAAGAACAAAUGUGUAAGUAACUAUGCACGUCUUGACGGUACCUAAUCAGAAAGCCACGGCUAACUACGUG